AUGAACUUUUUUUUUUCUUUUGUUUUAGGACGUGUAGAUGUCUGUUUUACCAGGACAAAAGGAAUACUGCCUAUUCACAUUAUCUCCAAUAUAUUCAGAUUUCCUGUUUGCUUCCAGUCAUCCUCUAGCAUUGUGGAGGAUGCUGUAAAUAUCUGCAGAAAGAACAAUCACAUUCCUGCAAACAGAUUUUUCCACUACCUCCACAUCAGCGCUCUCUCUGGAUUAAUUUCCCUCUUCUAUAAAAUCUUAAUCUUGCUCUCCCUGACCUAUAUACAGAGAAGGUAAAAAAUCCUAGCAAGAGGGCAGAUGUAAGAAGUCAGUUUGUGCUCAAAGUUAAUUGGUUACAAGAAAAGUUGUCAGUCCUAGAAGUUGAUCAAUCUAUCAGUGCUGGCAAACACCCUCAUGGACAUUUAUAAAGGAUGAAAAAUGGACAGCACAGGAAUGUCCUUUCUAUUUUUUUUUUAAUUAUUAUUUUAUUAUUUAUUUAUUUUUAUUUUAUUUUUCCUAGCUGAGCAGGGAAAUGAUUUUAUUAUUCUCUCCUGCGCCUCAAAAUGUCAUUUUUGUAGACAUUGUAAUGCUCAAGGACAGCAGUAGUGUUCGAUCUGGUCAGUCACAGACUUCUGGGUGCUACUGGAGCUGAGUUCAUUGGAAAAGCCAGUUAAAAUGCUUGAAGCAAUGAAGAAGCUUCAGACCCUGAAACUGCCAUCCAUAGCAUUGGGCUGUAGGUUAGUCAGGGUAAACUAUUUGGAGAGAGAUGUACUUUCUGCAGAAAGAGGAGGAAGAUAUUGCAGGUCGGCAAGCUAUAGGAUUUGGAAAAAAAACAGGAAAGCUACGAAGAGAACUAGUGAGGGGAUAGAGAAAAUUUUGGGGGAUGAAAACCAUGACCUGUGAAGUUUUCUGAUUUCUGUCAGUGAUUUUUGACCAAGGACGCUAUUCACUUUGGUUUAUUGCUACACUGCCUAAGAAAAACAGGUCUUGGUUCAUGCAUUUGAAAAUAAAAGAGGAUACACUGAAGAGAGUGCA
Molecule: long non-coding RNA, 1023 nt
Filed under: Anser cygnoides (Swan goose)
Lineage: Eukaryota; Metazoa; Chordata; Aves; Anseriformes; Anatidae
Description: lncRNA (ENSACDG00005006604.1)
Source: RNAcentral